UAUUUCGUGGUGGCCAGUUUGUAUUGAUGAAGAAAACCACCGAUCUUCGAUAGUAAAACUGACAAUCCUAGUCAAACUAGUGCAGCCGCACGAGCGGGGUUAGAACUAACAACCUCAGUGUUUGCUACUUUGUGAUUACAUUGGUAUUUACUUAGACCACUCGACCACCGAUGCCCCAAUAUCAAUGAUAAUCCAUGUCAAAGAUUAAAUAUCUUUAAUGAAUUUGAUGUUCUUGUAGACGUGAAGGAAUAUAAUUAUUACAGGUAUUUCAGCGACGGAGAGAUGGAUCGGUCAAUUUUACCAGAAACUGGAAGGAGUAUGAAGAGGGGUUCGGAGAUUUAGAUAACGAAUUUUGGCUAGG
RNAcentral lists this long non-coding RNA (361 nucleotides) under Mytilus galloprovincialis (Mediterranean mussel). Lineage: Eukaryota; Metazoa; Mollusca; Bivalvia; Mytilida; Mytilidae. The record is from RNAcentral.